RNAcentral lists this ribosomal RNA (305 nucleotides) under uncultured bacterium. RNAcentral's name for it is "bacterial SSU rRNA". It matches the Rfam family "Bacterial small subunit ribosomal RNA", at positions 333 to 635 of the family's 1533-position model. The record is from RNAcentral.
ACUCUCCUACGGGACGCAGCAGUGAGGAAUAUUGGUCAAUGGACGCAAGACUGAACCAGCCAUGCCGCGUGCAGGAAGACGGAUCUAUGAGUUGUAAACUGCUUUUGUACGAGGGUAAACGCAGAUACGUGUAUCUGUCUGAAAGUAUCGUACGAAUAAGGAUCGGCUAACUCCGUGCCAGCAGCCGCGGGAAUACGGAGGAUUCAAGCGUUAUCCGGAUUUAUUGGGUUUAAAGGGUGCGUAGGCGGUCGGAUAAGUUAGAGGUGAAAUACCGAGGCUCAAUUUAGGAAUUGCCUCUGAUACUG